UACGUAGGGCGCAAGCGUUAUCCGGAAUUAUUGGGCGUAAAGAGCUCGUAGGCGGUUUGUCGCGUCUGCCGUGAAAGUCCGGGGCUCAACUCCGGAUCUGCGGUGGGUACGGGCAGACUAGAGUGAUGUAGGGGAGACUGGAAUUCCUGGUGUAGCGGUGAAAUGCGCAGAUAUCAGGAGGAACACCGAUGGCGAAGGCAGGUCUCUGGGCAUUAACUGACGCUGAGGAGCGAAAGCGUGGGGAGCGAACAGC
Molecule: ribosomal RNA, 253 nt
Filed under: uncultured bacterium
Lineage: Bacteria
Description: partial 16S ribosomal RNA
Rfam family: Bacterial small subunit ribosomal RNA
Source: RNAcentral